AAAAAAGAAAAGAAAAAAAGAUCACAACUUGGUUUAGACAUUUCUUUGAACAUGUUGGUUGCAACUCAUAAACCAUUUAUUUUAACAAUAUUAAAAACCUUUCUUAGCUUAGAAUUAGAGAAGAGAAGAUUAUAUUACAAAUCAAAUAGUUGAUUUUAUAUAUUUAUCAACAUAAGUUCAUUACAAGUAGACCACUUUGGUAAACUAAAUGAACAUAAGAAAUCCACAUUCAUCAGAGAUGGUCAAGAAAAGCAACUGUCCAAUGUGAAGAAUCUGCCACGUACAGGAAAUAUGAAAACUAAAAUUCAACUAAAAAUAGAAGUGAAAACAAGAACAGGCAAAUCUUAAAAGUUAAUAUUGUGUUUGGACUAACCAUCCCAAAAAAAAAAAAACAAUCAUGCAGUGGGAGGAGUUUGUUGGAGGUUUAAGUCGUCGGCGGCCGAAGGUCUACAUCUCUGGUUAUAGGAGUUGAGUGAUUGUCAGAAAGAAAAUGCCACUGAGAGAAAAGGGUGUGGACUUACCUGAGUUAAAAAACUAACAAACAAGUCUUGAGUUAAAAGAGUUGAAAGAACAAAAGAGAAAAAGAAAAAACAGGAAAAUAUGUUGUUCUUCG
Molecule: long non-coding RNA, 613 nt
Filed under: Prunus persica (peach)
Lineage: Eukaryota; Viridiplantae; Streptophyta; Magnoliopsida; Rosales; Rosaceae
Description: long non-coding RNA (PPER_LNC004277)
Source: RNAcentral